GAAGCGAUCAUCCGAUAACAUUGGGACGAUGCAGAGAAUAUUGGCAUGACCACUACACAAGGAUGACACGCACAACGUGAGAAGCGUCAAAAGGUAAC
This 98-nucleotide small nuclear RNA is filed under the name Symbiodinium microadriaticum. The record is from RNAcentral. Lineage: Eukaryota; Dinophyceae; Suessiales; Symbiodiniaceae.